Molecule: ribosomal RNA, 125 nt
Filed under: Oidiodendron tenuissimum
Lineage: Eukaryota; Fungi; Ascomycota; Leotiomycetes; Myxotrichaceae
Description: partial large subunit ribosomal RNA
Rfam family: Eukaryotic large subunit ribosomal RNA
Source: RNAcentral
GGCAACAGCUCAAAUUUGAAAUCUGGCCCCCUCGGGGCCCGAGUUGUAAUUUGGAGAAGAUGCUUCGGGUGUGGCCCCGGUCUAAGUUCCUUGGAACAGGACGUCACAGAGGGUGAGAAUCCCGU